GAUGAACGCUGGCGGCGUGCUUAACACAUGCAAGUCGAACGGUGAAGGCGGAGCUUGCUCUGCUGGAUCAGUGGCGAACGGGUGAGUAACACGUGAGCAAUCUGCCCCUGACUCUGGGAUAAGCGCUGGAAACGGCGUCUAAUACUGGAUACGAGCUGCGAAGGCAUCUUCAGCAGCUGGAAAGAACUUCGGUCAGGGAUGAGCUCGCGGCCUAUCAGCUUGUUGGUGAGGUAACGGCUCACCAAGGCGUCGACGGGUAGCCGGCCUGAGAGGGUGACCGGCCACACUGGGACUGAGACACGGCCCAGACUCCUACGGGAGGCAGCAGUGGGGAAUAUUGCACAAUGGGCGGAAGCCUGAUGCAGCAACGCCGCGUGAGGGACGACGGCCUUCGGGUUGUAAACCGCUUUUAGCAGGGAAGAAGCGAAAGUGACGGUACCUGCAGAAGAAGCGCCGGCUAACUACGUG
Molecule: ribosomal RNA, 468 nt
Filed under: uncultured bacterium
Lineage: Bacteria
Description: partial 16S ribosomal RNA
Rfam family: Bacterial small subunit ribosomal RNA
Source: RNAcentral